Solanum dulcamara is the source of this 2779-nucleotide long non-coding RNA. RefSeq lists it as uncharacterized. NCBI's taxonomy places the organism in Eukaryota, Viridiplantae, Streptophyta, Magnoliopsida, Solanales, Solanaceae. The transcript has 2 exons. The record is from RefSeq and is a predicted model, not a curated record.
AUCAUCCCUACACACACAAAUAUUUGUGCAAUUUUCUCUUUGGUAGUUAAUUUACUAGUUUUGAUCAAUUGUAGAUGUUUUUUUUCCUUGAAAUUGCAAAAUAGAAUUUCUUUUUCUGGCAUUUGCUAGCUUAAACAGUGCAUUCACCCUAUCUUUCUAGUUUCUAGUCAAACUGCUAUAAAGGGGUUCUUUGUCUCAGAUCUUUUAACUUAUAAACAGUAGAAGAAGCUCUGAAUCAGCAAUGAUAUGGACAUAGGGACAGUGUCUUCAAAUUGAUUACCAUUCAAGAAAUAAUGGUCUUCAGUAUCAAGUGUUUUGAGUAUAUAACUGUGGAGAAUUCUUACUGAAAUUAUUACUUCUCAAAUCUAGUACUAAUAGCUAAGCGAUGUGGAACCGAGUCACUUCAGUCGUCAUGUGAUAUUCUGGAAUUAUCACACGACAAUGACUUGGUUCCACAUUUCUUCAGCAACAUUGCUAAGCUGGUGCUGGACUUGAGAAGUAAUAAUUUUGGUGGUAGUCUCUUUCGCUGUUAUAUACUUGGAGUACUUCAUAUUUGAGAUUCAUCAUUUUGGAUGGUGAUUAAUUUAAAGGAACUGUCCUAUGUCCUCUCCUCUAUGAUGCCGAUGCUUUGAUACAAAAAAACUCACUCCUUGCAUUUCAUUAUUCAGACCAAUGAUUUAGGUAAUAACAUUAGAAACCUAUUUAUCUUAUAUUCUUGUACAAUGAUAUCCCUUUUAAUAGAAUUUUAACUCAUAACACUGAUAGUAUAAAGAAUUUUUCCGCUAUAAUAUAUUUUGAAUUAAGUUGUUUUGGUAGGUAAUCUACUUCACUUUUUCAUAUUUACCAAAUCUGGACAAUUACUUGUUAGUAUCUUUUGUGAGACUUGAUAGGGUAAAAGUACUUCGGACACUAUCAGUUUAUACAAGGUAAAACUCGUUUUAAUAACAGUGGUAUCUGAUCAGCUUGCACGUAACUGCAUGUUUGCAUUCUCCGGAAGUACAACUCACUAAGAGUUAGGUUGAUGAUGAGAAAUCUACCUUAUUUGUUGUGUCUCUGCUAGGCCUUCUUCUUUCUUUUUUAGAAUUCUGUUUUGUUGUUUCUUUUGCUUAGUUGUGUAUCAUUCUUAUCAAUCCAAAAAGAAUAAUUGGGGAUCAUUCUUGUAUGUGUGGGAUAUAAGUGGGAACUAUGUUAGUUUUGAAUGACAUUUAACCUCUAUAGACAUGCAUAUUUGAUUAUCUGAGGUCUAUCUCCUACACCAUAGUUAUUUUUCAUGAUAGUCACAUGUCUCGGGCUGCUUAUUUGUUACAACAACAAAAUACGCAGUGUAAUCUCACAAGUGAGGUAUGGGGAGAGUGGUGUGUACGUAGACCUUACCCCUACCUUGUUGAGGUAGAGAAGUUGUUUCUGAUAGACCCUCGGCUCAAGUAAAACAUAUCAAAUCAGGUAUGAAAGGAAAUACAAUAGUGAAGAAACCAUGUUGAAAAUAAUGGAUGAAAGAACAGUAGCGAUAACAAAUAAUACGAUAAUUAAAGCAAAGGAAACAACAUGUUAUAAUAAAAUCCAACAAUAAGAUAGUAGGAGAGUAAUAACAAUAAAAUUGACAAGGGAAAUUAGACAACGUUCGACUACUUACUGAUCAUCUCGAAUUUCAAAGGUUGUGCACACCUCAGGUUAUCUUCUACCUGCAUUCUCCCUCCAAUACAGCUCAAAAAGACUUGUGUAGAUAGAAAAAAAUCACCUUAUGUUUUAUGUCUCUGCUAGUUCCUGGAUUGUUUUUUCUAGAGCCGAGGGUCUAUCGGAAACAUCCUCUCUUGGGGUGUAAGGUCUGUGUACACUCUAUCCUCUCCAGACCCUACUUUGUGGGACUACACUGGCUAUGUUGUUAUUGUUCUUCUUUUAUUUUCUUCUACUUAUUUGUGUCUCAUCCUUGCAAUGGGAUACAUUUUGAUCUAUGUGAAUCUGAGUGAUUGAGGUCUAUUUCCUCGCUUUCAGUAGUUGUGUUGGGGUCGACUAUAUGAACCAUCUGAGCUGUUCUGCUCUUGUAUAGAGCUUUAUUUAUGUUGCCUUGUUGAAACUAAACAUAAAGUUCAUCUGGUUUCAAAAGUUCUUUCACACUUUGUUUCAGUAUACCACAGUGGUACCAUCUUUAUAGUUCAUUUUCCUUGUUCAUUUAUUGCCUUAUUUGUGUUUACUGUGAUGAUUGUCGACGCCUAUAUUGCUUGAACUCUUCAAAAAUGUCACCAGUGCUUGUCGGAUCCUCCAAAAGAAAGAUUCAAAAUGGAUAACGGCAACAUUUCUCGAAAGUCCAAGCAACAUAGUUAAAGGCAAUAACAUAGUGAAAUUCAUCUAUAUCUCAGCUUAAGACUGCUUAAAAGUAUCCUGGUGGUUGUUGAACUCUGUGAAUUGGCCAGAGCAUUAUGUUGCUCCAACUCUUCAAAAAAUACUGUCGGAUGCACGUGAGUUCCUUUGAAAGUCACACAUUUAGGAGGAUCCGACAAGGGUGCGGAAGCAUUUUUCAGAGUGGCUAUGUGGGUAUAGAUACACUGAUGUGUGUUACUUCAAGGUGUAGAUUAUGGUAGUUCACAUUACUGAUUUAUAAAAAAUGAACAUGUUUGUUAGAAAUUUUUCAUAAUGUUACUGUAUAUUUUUUAGGGUGUACCUUUGACUAUUUCACGGGUACCUACUACCUUCUACCAUUUAUACAUUAUUUGCAACAUUGUAACAUUUCUUUCCCAUUAAUUCGGACAAUAUAAUAAAUAAAAAUAUUUCUUUCGUUUCA